UGGAUAACCUGCCCUCGGCACCGGGAUAGCCCGAGGAAACUCGGAUUAAUACCGGAUAGCCUUUCCGACUUUCGGGUCGGUUCGAAAAGGUAGCUUCGGCCUCUGGCCGAGGAUGGGUCCGCGGCGGAUUAGCUUGUUGGUGGGGUAAUGGCCUACCAAGGCAUCGAUCCGUAGCUGGUCUGAGAGGACGAUCAGCCACACUGGGACUGAGACACGGCCCAGACUCCUACGGGAGCAG
This 238-nucleotide ribosomal RNA is filed under the name uncultured bacterium. RNAcentral's name for it is "partial 16S ribosomal RNA". It matches the Rfam family "Bacterial small subunit ribosomal RNA", at positions 118 to 347 of the family's 1533-position model. The record is from RNAcentral.